CCCACCUCAUGUCUACGCGUGCUUGUGCUUGCAAGCCACUCUCCUGCAGAACCAAGUGUAGCAACACUCGCACACACACAUACACACACACACACAGAACCGCCGUAAGCGGCACAUACCCAACGAUUUCCCUCGUACGCACAGACUAUGUCAGCUGAACCCACUUCUACCACUGCUGCUGCUUCUAAUGCAGCACCACCACAAACGUUGAUGCCGGGAGGCCGGCAACUCUUCACAGUGGAGGAGUUCUACCCGGUCUACUUCUCUGCCUGGGAGCGUGAGACGGGUCUGUGUAGCAUCUGCUGCAACCAAGUCGAGGGGCCGUGCGUCGUGUGCCAGAGCAACGCGGAGGCCACCUCGGCGGAGUGCAGCAUCACAUGGGGCGAGUGCGGCCAUGCCUUCCAUACCCAUUGCAUUGAGAAAUGGCUGAAGACGCGGCCGGUGUGCCCGCUCGACAACAAGGAGUGGAAGGACCGCUCAGACUGGAACACCUCCGCCACCGUAUAGAAGAGGGAGUUGCAACGGGUUGGGGGAGAGGGAGAACGAGAAAGGACAUGUGCGUGUGUGUGGGCGAGCAAACACCUGCCCCACCCCCCCCCCCCCACCCCCCCCCCAACAACCGCACACAACUCCAUCACGCGUGUGUGUGUGUGUGUCGCCGUACUUUGCUCGAUGACGGAGCGCGCCCUCUCCUGCGCUAUUAUUCUUAGUGUUACUCAUCUUCGGGUCUCGUGUGCGGAGAGCGUCACUUUGGGCCUCCUCCCUCCUCCUUUUACGCCCAUCCUCCCACCUCUUCUCUCACUCUCCACCACACGGCGUUGUGCGCCGCCAUGCGAGCGGCGCAUGCCACUGACUGAAGAGGAGGGAAGAAGGGGUGAAAAGAUGAACGUAAAGGAAGAGGAGACGGGGCUGGUGUGUAUGUCGACAGAGGGAGCAGAAGAUUGUGAGGCGGGGGUAGCUUCUGGACCCCUUCUGCUUUUUGGCUGCUUCGAGCGGUGGUGGCCCAUGGGCUUCUCUUCAUUUCCUCUCCGCGCGUGCGUGUAUGUGUGCGUAAUUCGAAAAGAGCAAUACACAAAACGAGAGGAAAGAAAAUAAAGCACACACACACACAUACACACUAUGUGCUCUUGCUGCUGGCUGCUUGCGCGGGCACGAAGUAGGGGGUGUGUAGGUGGCGCACACAUGUUUUUGUGUACCCGUGCAUACGCCCACUCUUUGGCAUCUUCCGCUGGCCGCUGAUUUUGUUUCCAUGAAAAAGAAACAAAGGGCAAGAAAGCCCCUACCCCCCGUACUCCCCCACGCUGCGUUAACGCGGCAGAUCCGCCACUGGUGUCUUUGGCAUCACAUUGCUCCCCUUUUUCCGCCUCUCCCCUUUCUCCCUCCCUCUCUUAUCUGGGCUGCAUGCUGCAACGCAUCCCGCAG
RNAcentral lists this unclassified non-coding RNA (1422 nucleotides) under Leishmania donovani. Its description in RNAcentral is "gene:LdHU3.24.2050(CDS-product:ring-box_protein_p utative)". The record is from RNAcentral. Lineage: Eukaryota; Euglenozoa; Kinetoplastea; Trypanosomatida; Trypanosomatidae.